GUUCGAGUCAGGAAAAGAGUUUGCCCCAUCGUACAGUUACAAACAUACCUCUCAUGGGAUUCUGGAUCCACAAGAUACCUCCGAUAAGGGGAGAUGAUCCACAUGUUUGGCCACCUGCUGCAGGAUGAGCUGGACCAGUCUUGGGGAAAACGAUUACAUACACACACACGGUGCAAGGGGAGUUACAUCACAACGAGACAAAUCCCGGUUCCUUUCCAAACAAAAUCGAAGUUGAUCAUCCAAAAGGAGAUGAUUGUGCAAAACAAAGCCCGCUCUGCCAGGCUGCAGACCUGAGAAUGUGGCUGCGUCGUGUCACUUAGCAGAACGAUCACGCGCACAAUCGGCAACAAUGGGGAAAGCGCGUGCACACGAACAAUGCUUCCUGCAAGUGAUGUGCGCUGUCAUGAAGAGAAGAUUACUGGCACAGUGAUGCGGAAAGAGGGAGAAAAAAAAAA
Molecule: long non-coding RNA, 455 nt
Organism: Hippocampus comes (tiger tail seahorse)
Lineage: Eukaryota; Metazoa; Chordata; Actinopteri; Syngnathiformes; Syngnathidae
Exons: 2
Source: RefSeq, a predicted model, not a curated record